Molecule: ribosomal RNA, 372 nt
Filed under: uncultured organism
Description: bacterial SSU rRNA
Rfam family: Bacterial small subunit ribosomal RNA
Source: RNAcentral
CAGAGGGUGCAAGCGUUGUUCGGAAUUAUUGGGCGUAAAGCGCGUGUAGGCGGCUUAGCAAGUCGGGUGUGAAAGCCCUCAGCUCAACUGAGGAAGUGCGCCCGAAACUGCUGAGCUUGAGUACCGGAGAGGAUGGCGGAAUUCCCCAAGUAGAGGUGAAAUUCGUAGAUAUGGGGAGGAACACCGGUGGCGAAGGCGGCCAUCUGGACGGUUACUGACGCUGAGACGCGAAAGCGUGGGGAGCAAACAGGAUUAGAUACCCUGGUAGUCCACGCCGUAAACGAUGAGAACUAGGUGUCGCGGGUGUUGACCCCUGCGGUGCCGAAGCUAACGCAUUAAGUUCUCCGCCUGGGAGGUACGGUCGCAAGAUUA